This 487-nucleotide ribosomal RNA is filed under the name uncultured bacterium. RNAcentral's name for it is "bacterial SSU rRNA". It matches the Rfam family "Bacterial small subunit ribosomal RNA", at positions 501 to 986 of the family's 1533-position model. The record is from RNAcentral.
CUACGUGCCAGCAGCCGCGGUAAUACGUAGGGCGCGAGCGUUGUCCGGAAUUAUUGGGCGUAAAGAGCUUGUAGGCGGUUGGUCGCGUCUGCCGUGAAAUUCUCUGGCUUAACUGGGGGCGUGCAGUGGGUACGGGCAGACUAGAGUGCAGUAGGGGAGACUGGAAUUCCUGGUGUAGCGGUGGAAUGCGCAGAUAUCAGGAGGAACACCGAUGGCGAAGGCAGGUCUCUGGGCUGUAACUGACGCUGAGAAGCGAAAGCAUGGGGAGCGAACAGGAUUAGAUACCCCGGUAGUCCUGGCCGUAAACGAUGGGUACUAGGUGUAGGAGGUAUCGACCCCUUCUGUGCCGGAGUUAACGCAAUAAGUACCCCGCCUGGGGAGUACGACCGCAAGGUUGAAACUCAAAGGAAUUGACGGGGGCCCGCACAAGCGGUGGAGUAUGUGGUUUAAUUCGACGCAACGCGAAGAACCUUACCAGGUCUUGACA